RNAcentral lists this ribosomal RNA (497 nucleotides) under uncultured bacterium. RNAcentral's name for it is "partial 16S ribosomal RNA". It matches the Rfam family "Bacterial small subunit ribosomal RNA", at positions 28 to 507 of the family's 1533-position model. The record is from RNAcentral.
GAUGAACGCUGGCGGCGUGCCUAAUACAUGCAAGUCGAGCGAACGGACGAGAAGCUUGCUUCUCUGAUGUUAGCGGCGGACGGGUGAGUAACACGUGGAUAACCUACCUAUAAGACUGGGAUAACUUCGGGAAACCGGAGCUAAUACCGGAGAAUAUUUUGAACCGCAGGGUUCAAAAGUGAAAGACGGUCGUGCUGUCACUUAUAGAUGGAUCCGCGCUGCAUUAGCUAGUUGGUAAGGUAACGGCUUACCAAGGCAACGAUGCAUAGCCGACCUGAGAGGGUGAUCGGCCACACUGGAACUGGGACACGGUCCAGACUCCUACGGGAGGCAGCAGUAGGGAAUCUUCCGCAAUGGGCGAAAGCCUGACGGAGCAACGCCGCGUGAGUGAUGAAGGUCUUCGGAUCGUAAAACUCUGUUAUUAGGGAAGAACAUAUGUGUAAGUAACUGUGCACAUCUUGACGGUACCUAAUCAGAAAGCCACGGCUAACUACGUG